This 396-nucleotide long non-coding RNA is filed under the name Lathyrus oleraceus (garden pea). RNAcentral's name for it is "Pisum sativum (pea) long non-coding RNA (PSAT_LNC008345)". The record is from RNAcentral. Lineage: Eukaryota; Viridiplantae; Streptophyta; Magnoliopsida; Fabales; Fabaceae.
GAUUGUUGUUGUUGGAUAAUAAAAGUCAAAAAGGAAUUUGUGAAAUGUUGUGAUUAUUAAAUUUGAAUCACGGUUUUGAGUUUUGAUUAUAGGUUAUGGUUUUUAUUUUAUUUUAUAAAAAAGGUUAUAUUGGAUGAUAUUGCUGUAAAAGGAUUUAAGGCAUUAGUGUUAAAGGUUUGUGAUAUUAGUAAAAAAAAGAGAUUUGUAAUAUUAGUAAAAAAUAAAGUUAAUUUAGAAUACUUGUUUAGAAAUUUGUUUCAUGAUAUUAGUUAGAAUUUUUUUUUAAUUGCUUUAAAAAAAGUUGAUUUGAAAAAUUGAUUGCUUUUAGAAAUUGCUUUUAAAAAAUUGAUUGUUUUACAAAUUACUUUAAAAAAAUUGAUUUAAAAUUGAUUUUUU